RNAcentral lists this ribosomal RNA (467 nucleotides) under uncultured bacterium. RNAcentral's name for it is "partial 16S ribosomal RNA". It matches the Rfam family "Bacterial small subunit ribosomal RNA", at positions 28 to 506 of the family's 1533-position model. The record is from RNAcentral.
GACGAACGCUGGCGGCGUGCUUAACACAUGCAAGUCGAACGGAAAGGCCCUGCUUUCGUGGGGUUCUCGAGUGGCGAACGGGUGAGUAUCACGUGAGUAACCUGCCCUUGACUUUGGGAUAACUUCAGGAAACUGGGGCUAAUACCGGAUAGCAGCUCCUCCUGCAUGGUGGGCGUUGGAACGUUUCGGCGGUUGCGGAUGGACUCGCGGCUUAUCAGCUUGUUGGUGGGGUAGUGGAUUACCAAGGCUUUGACGGGUAGCCGGACUGAGAGUGUGACCGGCCACAGUGACACUGAGAUAGGGCCCGAACGACCACGUGAGGCAGCAGUGGGGACGAUUGCACAAAGUGCGGAAGCCUGAAAGAGCAACGCCGAGUGUGGAAGGACGGCCUUCGGGAGGUAAAACCCUUUCGCCUAUGACGAAGCGUGCGGGACGGUAAUGAGUAAAAAAACACCGGCUAACUACGU